CUACGUGCCAGCAGCCGCGGUAAUACGUAGGGUGCGAGCGUUGUCCGGAAUUAUUGGGCGUAAAGAGCUUGUAGGCGGUUUGUCGCGUCUGCUGUGAAAGGCCGGGGCUUAACCCCGUGUAUUGCAGUGGGUACGGGCAGACUAGAGUGCAGUAGGGGAGACUGGAAUUCCUGGUGUAGCGGUGGAAUGCGCAGAUAUCAGGAGGAACACCGAUGGCGAAGGCAGGUCUCUGGGCUGUAACUGACGCUGAGAAGCGAAAGCAUGGGGAGCGAACAGGAUUAGAUACCCUGGUAGUCCAUGCCGUAAACGUUGGGCACUAGGUGUGGGGAACAUUCCACGUUUUCCGCGCCGUAGCUAACGCAUUAAGUGCCCCGCCUGGGGAGUACGGCCGCAAGGCUAAAACUCAAAGAAAUUGACGGGGGCCCGCACAAGCGGCGGAGCAUGCGGAUUAAUUCGAUGCAACGCGAAGAACCUUACCAAGGCU
Molecule: ribosomal RNA, 484 nt
Filed under: uncultured bacterium
Lineage: Bacteria
Description: bacterial SSU rRNA
Rfam family: Bacterial small subunit ribosomal RNA
Source: RNAcentral